RNAcentral lists this small RNA (215 nucleotides) under Pseudomonas sp. AD21. RNAcentral describes it as "P20". It matches the Rfam family "PhrS". The record is from RNAcentral. Lineage: Bacteria; Pseudomonadati; Pseudomonadota; Gammaproteobacteria; Pseudomonadales; Pseudomonadaceae.
GUUCCAUCGCAGCAAAGCAGGGGCCAGGAGGCCACAGUCAUGUUUUUCGAUAACGUGGUGUUUGCCGGGGUUCUGACCGUAGGACUCAUGGUUCUGUUUUUUGCAGGGUUUGGAUUUUUUAUCUGGAAAGAUGCGAAUAAGCGCAAGAAGUAGGUCUUUCUGGGUUUGAUGAGCACGCAAGGCAUUUUGGGCAACUUCGGUUGCCCUUUUUUUUG